This 339-nucleotide long non-coding RNA is filed under the name Brassica napus (rape). Its description in RNAcentral is "long non-coding RNA (BNAP_LNC024998)". Lineage: Eukaryota; Viridiplantae; Streptophyta; Magnoliopsida; Brassicales; Brassicaceae. The record is from RNAcentral.
UUGGAGUUUUAUUUGGUUUUACGGGGAGGGGGGCAACAGUGUUUGAAUUGUGCUUGUCGGUUUUUAUUAUGAUUUGGAAUAAGAAUGGUUUCUUGAGUUUGUGGUGUCUUGACGAUUUUUUCUACACGGUAUCUUCGGGUUUUGGAAACAUGGAAGUUCUUGGAGUCUUAUGGGAAGUACUGGAUGUGAAUAAAGACUGUUGUUUUCUUUGGUGGGUGAUGGGUUGGUUCGUAUAUAUGUCUGUAAGGUUCAGUUGGCAGGAGGUCGGGAUUCUGGUAUACUUAUGGUUACUAAAAAGAAUAAGAGGUUCGAAGUGGAAAGGCGUAAGGUGGUGUGUCA